RNAcentral lists this ribosomal RNA (284 nucleotides) under Ixodes ricinus (castor bean tick). Its description in RNAcentral is "partial small subunit ribosomal RNA". Lineage: Eukaryota; Metazoa; Arthropoda; Arachnida; Ixodida; Ixodidae. The record is from RNAcentral.
AAAAUAAAAUUUGAUUUUAAAAAAAUUUAAUUUUUAAACUAGGAUUAGAUACCCUAUUAUUUUAAGCUUAAUGUUGGUAGUAAGUAAAAAUUAUGAAAUCAUAAAAUUUUGGCGGUAUUUUAAGCUUGUUAGAGGAAUUUGCUCUAUAAUGGAUACAACGCCUAUAUCUUACCUAAUUUUGUAAUUAAAGUCAGUUUGUAUACCACUAUAUUUAAUUAUAUUGAAUAAUUAUAUUUAAGAUUUUUAUACAAAUAUAUAUUAAGUCAAGGUGCAACAAAUAAUUA